GACGAAGGGGGCAAGCGUUGUUCGGAAUUACUGGGCGUAAAGGGCGCGUAGGCGGCUCUGUAAGUCAGGCGUGAAAGCCCAGGGCUCAACCCUGGAAUUGCCUUCGAUACUGUUUGGCUAGAGACCGGAAGAGGUUAGUGGAACUGCGAGUGUAGAGGUGAAAUUCGUAGAUAUUCGCAAGAACACCAGUGGCGAAGGCGGCUAACUGGUCCGGUUCUGACGCUGAGGCGCGAAAGCGUGGGGAGCAAACAGG
Molecule: ribosomal RNA, 253 nt
Filed under: uncultured bacterium
Lineage: Bacteria
Description: partial 16S ribosomal RNA
Rfam family: Bacterial small subunit ribosomal RNA
Source: RNAcentral